GCCAUUGUAGCUCAGUUGGUAGAGCACUCGACUUGUAAUCGAGCGGUCAUGGGUUCGAGUCCCAUCAAUGGCU
Molecule: transfer RNA, 73 nt
Filed under: Anaerolineaceae bacterium
Lineage: Bacteria; Bacillati; Chloroflexota; Anaerolineae; Anaerolineales; Anaerolineaceae
Also listed under: 1 other name
Description: tRNA-Thr
Rfam family: tRNA
About the family: Transfer RNA (tRNA) molecules are approximately 80 nucleotides in length. Their secondary structure includes four short double-helical elements and three loops (D, anti-codon, and T loops). Further hydrogen bonds mediate the characteristic L-shaped molecular structure. tRNAs have two regions of fundamental functional importance: the anti-codon, which is responsible for specific mRNA codon recognition, and the 3' end, to which the tRNAs corresponding amino acid is attached (by aminoacyl-tRNA synthetases). tRNAs cope with the degeneracy of the genetic code in two manners: having more than one tRNA (with a specific anti-codon) for a particular amino acid; and 'wobble' base-pairing, i.e. permitting non-standard base-pairing at the 3rd anti-codon position.
Source: RNAcentral